GAGCCAGAGAGCAGUGAUUGGUCAGACUGACUGAGAGCCAGAGAACAGUGAUUGGUCAGACCAUAGAUAUGUAUAGAAGACAGCGCGCGAGCGUAUCUAGUCUUCUGUGUAUCUAUGGUUGGCACGUCUGGCAGCAUCUCUGGCUGCUAUUGAUCUUGUUUUUGGAGUAAAACACGGUGGAAGCUGAAUUAGUGAGGAUGACUCCUGCUCCUGUCAUCUCUAAGCUCCUCACACAUCUUUACCUGCACAUGAGGAAAAUCACUCCUGUAGAAUGCAGAUGUUCAGAGGGAGAUGAUGCCACAUCUGGUCCAGCUGAUGGAAGGUCUUGAAGUUCUCUGACUGGCCUCCACUGAAGAUGGUCGUCUCACUGGAUUUAAGGUUCAGAUGUUCAGUAACAAACUCCACCAAUGUGCCAACAGGGAAGCUUUAGGUUUAUUAAAUGUUGCUAUGAAGGUAUCGCUGUUUUUCUUUGUGAAUGCAAUGUGCUCCAACUGAAACUUGAAUUAGAACUUAGAAGUAAAUCCUUCCAUCUGAAAGGAUUUAGUUGCAUUAAUAACCUCAUAACAUUCUAAUUUUUAUUCCAGUCUUGGUUGGAAAUAGAAUCUCUGUAUUGAUUCAAGUAAAAACUGAACUUCACAGCAUGUUGGAGCAAAACAACCAGAUGAAAACUGUGAUGGUGUUGGAUUGUCAGACUGUAAUGUUGCAGCUCAAAGCAGCUUUUCUAGCUCAGUUCAUUCUGACAUUCAGCUAUGAAUCAACACAGCAGAUGGUGAUCCAUGCUGUGGAAGUCUCACAUCUCCUGAUUUAAUGGAGCUGCUUUGCACUUUUUACACUGUUUAUUCACCAAGACUUUAUUUAAUAAAAGUCCCAUCUAGUUUUUAUGAGGAAUGUGAUGUUUUAAUUUCUCUGUGAAUAACUGCAGUCUAAUGCAACAGCUGGAGUUGUAACAUCUGUCCUGAUAUUGAUCAUGAAGUAUUGAUCAGAAUACUUAUGGUCAGCAGUCAUCCCUGAAGUUUUAUAUUAAAAUCUUUACUUGUGUUGUGAACUUUGGUAAGAAGCAGAAACGUUAGCGUUGCCAUGGAUACAUGAGUGUUAAAUUCUGUCCAUGUUUCCAUUUUGGGAAAUUCAGUCCAGUUCCAGAAUGUGGAGGAAUUUAGUCUCACAAUCACAGACAACAAAUAUUAUCUGAAAGUCGGGUUAUUGUUGUUUAUCAGCACAAUACAAAAAGAUUAAUGUUAGAAAUAUUCCAGUUAGGACUCUAGAAUAUCAUGAUUUAUGUAAAUUUACCUCAAUAAUAUGAAUGUUCAGGUUAAGAUUGUGCAGUGAUAUUUAUUAUGCAAGUUUAGCUGAUUAAAGUUUAUGACUCUGCACUAAAAUAUUAUUUAAAUUGCCAUCAUUAUUAUAAUAUUUAGGGUCAGACCCUACAGUAUUGAGAUUAAGAAAUCAAAUAUUCUUUAAAAUGUAAAUACACUGAACUCAUUUGGAUACAUUUAAGUGAGACUCUACAAUAUUAUUUGACACAAAUCUAUCUAAAUCAACAUUUUAAUAAUUUUCAUGCCAAACAUUUACUGGAAUGAUUUAAAUAUUAAAAUCACUCCUUUCUAAUCCUCUGCUGUACGUUCAAACCUGAGGCCUUAAAUAGAAACACACAAGUAUCUGAUUGAAGGAACUUCUGCAGAGUCCUGGUUCCAGAACAUGAUGAUAGAAUUAUAGACAAACUUUAACACAAGCUGCCUGAGAGUUUACAGGUUUUUAUGUUAAAUUUCUUCAGUAAUUUAAUGAGACUUAUCAGCAAAAAUCAAGUGUUCAUUUGAUGAACUUCAUUUCCUAAAACAUCCAGAAUUGGAGCUCAUAUCUUUGGCAGCUGUAAAGUUUCUGCUCCUUCAAAGUUCACAACACAAUGAAUGAAUUCCUAAAACACUCUCAAUGCUGGAGAGCGUUUGUGAUGCUGAAGCAGUGAUCAGUUUUUCAGUUUCUUCUCUGGAGAUGCACAAUGAGGGACGUCUGCAGAGACUGAGAAAGAGUCUCACCACAUCCUGACAUGAGGAAAAAGACUUUAAUGAAGACUACAAUGAGAAAAACUAUCAGACAGCAGAUGGCUGCAUUCAAGUCUGUAGCUGCUGAAUUCAUGGAUGAAUCAUCUGGCACUAGAGAAGAAGACCAUCAAACAUCCACGUCAGCUGAUGGAGGUCCAAGAGUCUCACCAAACAAACAACCUACAGAGUGAAGACCUCCAAUCUGAUUGGACGGCAUCCUAUUCAGCCACAUGUGUGAACAAAUGCCUCUAAGUUGAUUUGUUUUCUAAAAUAAAUCUAGUU
Molecule: long non-coding RNA, 2318 nt
Organism: Amphiprion ocellaris (clown anemonefish)
Lineage: Eukaryota; Metazoa; Chordata; Actinopteri; Pomacentridae
Source: Ensembl